Molecule: microRNA precursor, 131 nt
Filed under: Oryza longistaminata (longstamen rice)
Lineage: Eukaryota; Viridiplantae; Streptophyta; Magnoliopsida; Poales; Poaceae
Description: pre miRNA mir-399
Source: RNAcentral
AUGUAAAUUGCGAGACAAAUCUUUUGAGCCUAAUUACAUCAUGAUUUGACAAUGUGGUGCCAUGAUCUGUAGCAUCACAUUGUCAAAUCAUGGCGUAAUUAGGUUCAAAAGAUUUGUCUCGCAAUUUACAU